CGGCGAGUGAAGCGGCAACAGCUCAAAUUUGAAAUCUGGCCCUCGGGUCCGAGUUGUACUUUGCAGAGGAUGCUUCUGGCGAGGCGCUGCCCAAGUCCCCUGGAACGGGGCGCCGGAGAGGGUGAGAGCCCCGUACGGUCGGCGGCCGAGCCUGUGCGAAGCUCCUUCGACGAGUCGAGUAGUUUGGGAAUGCUGCUCUAAGCGGGAGGUAGACCCCUUCUAAAGCUAAAUACCGGCCAGAGACCGAUAGCGCACAAGUAGAGUGAUCGAAAGAUGAAAAGCACUUUGAAAAGAGGGUUAAACAGCACGUGAAAUUGUUGAAAGGGAAGCGCUUGCGACCAGACGUGCGCCGGGGUGCUCCGCGGGCGUUCUCGCCCGCGCACUCGCCCCGGCGCAGGCCAGCGUCGGUUCGGAUGGGGGGACAAAGGCGCCUGGAACGUGGCUCCCCCGGGAGUGUUAUAGCCAGGCGCGCCAUGCCCCCGCCCGGACCGAGGUUCGCGUUCUGCAAGGACGCUGGCGUAAUGGUCCCCAGCGGCCCGUCUUGAAACACGGACCAAGGAGUCGAGGUUUUGCGCGAGUGUCUGGGUGACAAACCCGCACGCGCAAUGAAAGUGAACGCUGGUGGGAGCUUCGGCGCACCACCGACCGAUCCUGAAGUUUACGGAUGGAUUUGAGUACGAGCGCAGGGCCUCGGACCCGAAAGAUGGUGAACUAUGCUUGGAUAGGGUGAAGCCAGAGGAAACUCUGGUGGAGGCUCGCAGCGGUUCUGACGUGCAAAUCGAUCGUCAAAUCUGAGCAUGGGGGCGAAAGACUAAUCGAACCGUCUAGUAGCUGGUUACUGCCGAAGUUUCCCUCAGGAUAGCAGUGUUGAUCUCAGUUUUAUGAGGUAAAGCGAAUGAUUAGGGACUCGGGGGCGCUCUUCAGCCUUCAUCCAUUCUCAAACUUUAAAUAUGUAAGAAGCCCUUGUUGCUUAGUUGAACGUGGGCCUUCGAAUGCACCAACACUAGUGGGCCAUUUUUGGUAAGCAGAACUGGCGAUGUGGGAUGAACCAUACGGGGGGUUAAGGUGCCAGAGUGGACGCUCAUCAGACACCACAAAAGGCGUUAGCACAUCUUGACAGCAGGACGGUGGCCAUGGAAGUCGGAAUCCGCUAAGGACUGUGUAACAACUCACCUGCCGAAUGUGCUAGCCCUGAAAAUGGAUGGCGCUCAAGCGUCCCACCCAUACCCCCCCCUCGGGGUAGACACGAUGCCCCGAGGAGUAGGCAGCCGCAGC
RNAcentral lists this ribosomal RNA (1275 nucleotides) under Sporoschisma hemipsilum. RNAcentral's name for it is "eukaryotic LSU rRNA". It matches the Rfam family "Eukaryotic large subunit ribosomal RNA", at positions 87 to 1395 of the family's 3401-position model. The record is from RNAcentral. Lineage: Eukaryota; Fungi; Ascomycota; Sordariomycetes; Chaetosphaeriales; Chaetosphaeriaceae.